RNAcentral lists this long non-coding RNA (238 nucleotides) under Hordeum vulgare. Its description in RNAcentral is "long non-coding RNA (HVUL_LNC007368)". Lineage: Eukaryota; Viridiplantae; Streptophyta; Magnoliopsida; Poales; Poaceae. The record is from RNAcentral.
GUCUUCACAGUACAGGAGCGCUUGCCCGACAAGGAUGCUCCAGGGCAACAUCUACGCGCGUAGAGUGAACAGAGAGUCGAUGUUUCUAAAGUUAACCCUGGACAUCCUUUUAUAGUCCAAGGGGUUACCAUAGUGGCUGAAUUGGUCUUUACAUGGGAGAACAGUCCACACGAUAGCUGCCAAGACUAGUGACAGAAGCUAUAGUGGGAAAUACGUAACUUUGGCAUACUAAGACAGA